UAGGGAAUCUUCGGCAAUGGACGAAAGUCUGACCGAGCAACGCCGCGUGAGUGAAGAAGGUUUUCGGAUCGUAAAACUCUGUUGUUAGAGAAGAACAAGGACGUUAGUAACUGAACGUCCCCUGACGGUAUCUAACCAGAAAGCCACGGCUAACUACGUGCCAGCAGCCGCGGUAAUACGUAGGUGGCAAGCGUUGUCCGGAUUUAUUGGGCGUAAAGCGAGCGCAGGCGGUUUCUUAAGUCUGAUGUGAAAGCCCCCGGCUCAACCGGGGAGGGUCAUUUGAAACUGUGAGACUUGAGUGCAGAAGAGGAGAGUGGAAUUCCAUGUGUAGCGGUGAAAUGCGUAGAUAUAUGGAGGAACACCAGUGGCGAAGGCGGCUCUCUGGUCUGUAACUGACGCUGAGGCUCGAAAGCGUGGGGAGCAAACAGG
RNAcentral lists this ribosomal RNA (429 nucleotides) under Gemmatimonadota bacterium. RNAcentral describes it as "Gemmatimonadetes bacterium partial 16S ribosomal RNA". It matches the Rfam family "Bacterial small subunit ribosomal RNA", at positions 355 to 776 of the family's 1533-position model. Lineage: Bacteria; Pseudomonadati; Gemmatimonadota. The record is from RNAcentral.